CGUGUAGGCGGUUUUCCAAGUUGGGUGUGAAAGCCUUGGGCUUAACCCAAGAAAUGCACUCAGUACUGGAAGACUAGAGGACCGGAGAGGAUAGUGGAAUUCCCAGUGUAGUGGUGAAAUACGUAGAGAUUGGGAAGAACACCAGUGGCGAAGGCGGCUAUCUGGACGGUUUCUGACGCUAAGACGCGAAAGCGUGGGGAGCAACAG
This 207-nucleotide ribosomal RNA is filed under the name uncultured bacterium. RNAcentral describes it as "partial 16S ribosomal RNA". It matches the Rfam family "Bacterial small subunit ribosomal RNA", at positions 568 to 774 of the family's 1533-position model. The record is from RNAcentral.